UUUCCGUAGGUGAACCUGCGGAAGGAUCAUUCAUAAUAAGUGUUUUAUGGCACUUUUUAAAUCCAUAUCCACCUUGUGUGCAAUGUCAGGGUUGGUCUCCUUUGAUCAGCCCCAAACAUCAACUAUUAUCUCAACUCUUUGUCUGAAAAAUAUUAUGAAUAAAACAAUUCAAAAUACAACUUUCAACAACGGAUCUCUUGGCUCUC
RNAcentral lists this unclassified non-coding RNA (206 nucleotides) under plant metagenome. RNAcentral's name for it is "partial contains small subunit ribosomal RNA, internal transcribed spacer 1, and 5.8S ribosomal RNA". The record is from RNAcentral.